UAUCUCUGUAGAGUCUGCAUAUCAAUAAGCGGAGGAAAAGAAACUAACAAGGAUUCCCUUAGUAACGGCGAGUGAAGCGGGAAGAGCUCAAAUUUGAAAUCUUCAAGGUUCUACCUUGACGAAUUGUAGUUUAAAGAAGUGUUUUCUGUUAGAUGAGUAGCAAAAGUUCCUUGGAAUGGGACAUCAUAGAGGGUGAGAAUCCCGUAUUUGACGUUAUUCAUUCUAGCUGUGUGAUACACUUUCAAAGAGUCGGAUUGUUUGGGAAUGCAGUCCAAAAUGGGUGGUAAAUUUCAUCUAAAGCUAAAUAUUGGCGAGAGACCGAUAGCGAACAAGUACCGUGAGGGAAAGAUGAAAAGAACUUUGAAAGGAGAGUUAAACAGUACGUGAAAUUGUCAAAAGGGAAGCGUUUGACACCAAUGUUGUUUUUCCGAAAAUCAAUUACGAAUGGCUUGAUUUUGUGUUGUAUUGACCUUAUCAGCUUUCUUCACUUUUUUCGAGUCUUUCUUAAUGCACUUUUCGGUUAACAAGUCAGCAUCAAUUUCUUUUGUUGUAAAAGAGUAUUCGGAAGGUGGCUUUCUUUUCGGAGAAAGUGUUUAUAGCCCUAUACUUCUACAAUCGGAGAGAUUGAGGUCUGCAGCGUAGAUCCUUCGGGGUUAGAUACACUUGUGCUAAGUUGUAGCUUUUCAUAGACAACUUGUUGACUAUGUUUAGUCAUGCGGCUUACUCGCUUGUGCUAUUUUACCUACGCUUAGGAUGUUGACUGAUAUGUAGUCGUA
Molecule: ribosomal RNA, 776 nt
Filed under: uncultured Neocallimastigales
Lineage: Eukaryota; Fungi; Neocallimastigomycota; Neocallimastigomycetes; Neocallimastigales
Description: partial large subunit ribosomal RNA
Rfam family: Eukaryotic large subunit ribosomal RNA
Source: RNAcentral